UACGUAGGGUGCGAGCGUUAAUCGGAAUUACUGGGCGUAAAGCGUGCGCAGGCGGGCUUUUAAGCCAGACGUGAAAUCCCCGGGCUUAACCUGGGAAUGGCGUUUGGGACUGGAAGUCUGGAGUGCGGCAGAGGAGACUGGAAUUCCUGGUGUAGCAGUGAAAUGCGUAGAUAUCAAGCAGACCACCUGCGGCGAAGGCGGCCUUCUGGACGGUGACUGACGCUGAGACGCGAAAGCGUGGGGAGCAAACAGG
Molecule: ribosomal RNA, 253 nt
Filed under: uncultured bacterium
Lineage: Bacteria
Description: partial 16S ribosomal RNA
Rfam family: Bacterial small subunit ribosomal RNA
Source: RNAcentral